AGUGAACGCUGGCGGUAGGCCUAACACAUGCAAGUCGAACGGAAGCACAGUAAGAGCUUGCUCUUACGGGUGGCGAGUGGCGGAUGAGUGAGGAAUACAUCGGAAUCUACUUUUUCGUGGGGGAUAACGUAGGGACACUUACGCUAAUACCGCAUACGACCUACGGGUGAAAGCAGGGGAUCUUCGGACCUUGCGCGAUUGUAUGAGCCGAUGUCGGAUUAGCUAGUUGGCGGGGUAAAGGACCACCAAGGCGACGAUCCGUAGCUGGUCUGAGAGGAUGAUCAGCCACACUGGAACUGAGACACGGUCCAGACUCCUACGGGAGGCAGCAGUGGGGAAUAUUGGACAAUGGGCGCAAGCCUGAUCCAGCCAUGCCGCGUGGGUGAAGAAGGUCUUCGGGUUGUAAAGCCCUUUUGUUGGGAAAGAAAAGCAGCAUGUUAAUACCCCGCUGUUCUGACGGUACCCAAAGAAUAAGCACCGGCUAACUUCGUG
Molecule: ribosomal RNA, 492 nt
Filed under: uncultured bacterium
Lineage: Bacteria
Description: partial 16S ribosomal RNA
Rfam family: Bacterial small subunit ribosomal RNA
Source: RNAcentral